AACGAACGCUGGCGGCAUGCCUAACACAUGCAAGUCGAACGAGACCUUCGGGUCUAGUGGCGCACGGGUGCGUAACGCGGGGGAAUCUGCCCGUGGGUUCGGAAUAACAGUGAGAAAUUACUGCUAAUACCGGAUGAUGUCUUCGGACCAAAGAUUUAUCGCCCUGGGAUGAGCCCGCGUAGGAUUAGCUGGUUGGUGGGGUAAUGGCCUACCAUGGCGACGAUCCUUAGCUGGUCGGAGAGGAUGAUCAGCCAGACUGGGACUGAGACACGGCCCAGACUGCUACGGGACGGAGCAGUGGGGAAUACUGGACGCUGGGCGCAAGCGUGAUCCCGCAACGCCGCGUGAGUGAUGAAGGCGUUAGGGUUGUAAAGCCCUUUUACACGGGAUGAUAAUGACAGUACCGGGAGAAUAAGCUCCGGCUAACUCCGUG
This 433-nucleotide ribosomal RNA is filed under the name uncultured bacterium. RNAcentral describes it as "partial 16S ribosomal RNA". It matches the Rfam family "Bacterial small subunit ribosomal RNA", at positions 29 to 507 of the family's 1533-position model. The record is from RNAcentral.